Phrynosoma platyrhinos (Desert horned lizard) is the source of this 72-nucleotide non-coding RNA. The record is from the annotation of a GenBank genome assembly. NCBI's taxonomy places the organism in Eukaryota, Metazoa, Chordata, Lepidosauria, Squamata, Phrynosomatidae.
ACCAGUGUGGCACAGUGGUUUGAGUGUUGGGCUGUGACUCUGGAGACCAGGCCUCGAUUCCCUGCUCAGCCA